AGAGUUUGAUCCUGGCUCAGGACGAACGCUGGCGGCGCGCCUAACACAUGCAAGUCGAACGAGAGAGAGGGAGCUUGCUUCCUCAAUCGAGUGGCGAACGGGUGAGUAACGCGUGAGGAACCUGCCUCAAAGAGGGGGACAACAGUUGGAAACGACUGCUAAUACCGCAUAAGCCCACGGGUCGGCAUCGACCAGAGGGAAAAGGAGCAAUCCGCUUUGAGAUGGCCUCGCGUCCGAUUAGCUAGUUGGUGAGGUAAUGGCCCACCAAGGCAACGAUCGGUAGCCGGACUGAGAGGUUGAACGGCCACAUUGGGACUGAGACACGGCCCAGACUCCAACGGGAGGCA
RNAcentral lists this ribosomal RNA (347 nucleotides) under uncultured bacterium. Its description in RNAcentral is "bacterial SSU rRNA". It matches the Rfam family "Bacterial small subunit ribosomal RNA", at positions 8 to 350 of the family's 1533-position model. The record is from RNAcentral.